CCUACGGGUGGCUGCAGUCGAGGAUCUUCGGCAAUGGGCGCAAGCCUGACCGAGCGACGCCGCGUGAGGGAUGAAGGCCUUCGGGUUGUAAACCUCUGUCGAGGGGGAGGAAAUCUAUCGGGGCACUCCCUGAUAGUUGACCUAUCCCUGGAGGAAGCUUGGGCUAAGUUCGUGCCAGCAGCCGCGGUAAGACGAACCAAGCAAACGUUGUUCGGAUUCACUGGGCUUAAAGGGCGCGUAGGCGGUCGAUCAAGUCUGGGGUGAAAUCUUUCGGCUCAACCGGAAAAUUGCCUCGGAUACUGAUUGGCUGGAAGGAGGUAGGGGCUGCGGGAACUGCCAGUGGAGCGGUGAAAUGCGUUGAUAUUGGCAGGAACGCCGGUGCCGAAAGGGCGCAGCUGGACCUUUCUUGACGCUGAGGCGCGAAAGCUAGGGUAGCGAAC
This 440-nucleotide ribosomal RNA is filed under the name uncultured bacterium. Its description in RNAcentral is "partial 16S ribosomal RNA". It matches the Rfam family "Bacterial small subunit ribosomal RNA", at positions 338 to 773 of the family's 1533-position model. The record is from RNAcentral.